GACGGGGGGUCCUAGCGUUGUUCGGAAUCAUUGGGCGUAAAGCGUGUGCAGGUGGUUUUAUAAGUUAGAUGUGAAAUCCUUGGGCUCAACCCGAGAAGUGCAUUUAAAACUGUAGAACUUGAGUACGGAAGAGGGUCGUGGAAUUCCGGGUGUAGUGGUGAAAUACGUAGAUAUCCGGAGGAACACCGGUGGCGAAGGCGGCGACCUGGUCCGAUACUGACACUCAUACACGAAAGCGUGGGGAUCAAACAGG
RNAcentral lists this ribosomal RNA (253 nucleotides) under uncultured bacterium. RNAcentral describes it as "partial 16S ribosomal RNA". It matches the Rfam family "Bacterial small subunit ribosomal RNA", at positions 524 to 776 of the family's 1533-position model. The record is from RNAcentral.